AUUUCGGGACGUGUAGUUUUCCCUGGCAGGACAGUAGAAGUCGUGGUUUGUGCGCGGCCACGCGCUGGAGCCUCCGCUGCCGGGAGCAAUCAGACCUUCCAGCUGCCUCUCAUGUACUUGUCUGUUGGGGGCUUGUGUUGAUCAGGAGUGAAUUCACAGUCUACCAUGAAUUGGAAGGUUCUUGAGCACGUGCCCCUGCUGCUGUAUAUCUUGGCAGCAAAAACAUUAAUUCUCUGCCUGACAUUUGCUGGGGUGAAAAUGUACCAAAGAAAAAGGUUGGAGGCAAAACAACAAAAACUGGAGGCUGAAAGGAAGAAGCAAUCAGAGAAAAAAGAUAACUGAAGGUCCUAACUGGGACCACCUACUCCCCUUGGAGGGUCCGGAUGGAGUUUCCCCUCUGCGGCUGCCUCUCACUCAUCCUCCACCGCUUUGCUGACAAGGAAGGAAGGACAAUUGGGAGGAGGGAGUCUUGCUUGGCGACCAUCUGGACAAUAUCUCGCCCAUGGCAAGCUGGAUCCCUGUGGAUUACUUUGAGCUAAAGACAUUUCAUAAAAUGGGCAUGAAGGAUGAAGACGUGGACAAAAUGAUUGGUCAGGUCCUUUGCUCUACUGUUGAAUGGAGGAGGAUUUUUUUUUUCCCUCACACAGGGGUUUUCUUGGAGCUCAAGUUUGGAUGACCCCAGACAGUAAGAUAAUCUCAUCAUGGUAAAGUUAAUAUGAAACAUGUGGUCUCCAAACAGCCUCUCCCAGAGGCCAGGAUCAGCAGGUUUGAGUGGAUAAUUGGCUUGUGGUCAUUUUCUCAUAGGAUUUUUCUUUUAGUAGUGGAAACUGUUUUUCAAAUCAAAUUUGGAUGCCAACUAUGUGGAACAGAAGUGUGACUGCUCUGGUGGAAGUGGCAAUGGUAGUCCUAGAGUCUCCCUGUCAGCCACACCCUUUGUCUCCCCCUACCCAAGGGACCCUGUGGCCUGGAACCGCAGUGUGAAAUGCUAUAUAGUGCAAUGAAGUCAAUUCUAAGACAAGAGUUCUUUGCCUUUCUCAUCUAAUUUUUAGUUAUGGAUAUGAGACGCUUGUUCAGAAGUAUGGAAAAGUAUAUAUAAUAUGUUAUCUUUUAGAUGUGGGCGUAAAUAUGCUUAUGUAUGCAAUGUGCUUAUAUUUUAACGCAUAAACAACAUGAAUAAAGCAAACACUGUAGACUUCUUCAAAUGUA
This 1206-nucleotide small RNA is filed under the name Pan troglodytes (chimpanzee). RNAcentral describes it as "processed transcript". The record is from RNAcentral. Lineage: Eukaryota; Metazoa; Chordata; Mammalia; Primates; Hominidae.